Molecule: transfer RNA, 66 nt
Filed under: Melanomys caliginosus (dusky rice rat)
Lineage: Eukaryota; Metazoa; Chordata; Mammalia; Rodentia; Cricetidae
Description: tRNA-Trp
Source: RNAcentral
AGAAGUUUAGGAUAAGUAGUCCAAGAGCCUUCAAAGCCCUAAGCAGACAUAAAAGUCUAACUUCUG